RNAcentral lists this ribosomal RNA (424 nucleotides) under uncultured bacterium. Its description in RNAcentral is "partial 16S ribosomal RNA". It matches the Rfam family "Bacterial small subunit ribosomal RNA", at positions 360 to 776 of the family's 1533-position model. The record is from RNAcentral.
AAUUUUGGACAAUGGGGGAAACCCUGAUCCAGCCAUCCCGCGAGUAUGAUGAAGGCCUUCGGUUUGUAAAGUACUUUUGGCAGAGAAGAAAAGGUAUCCCCUAAUCCGCGAUCCUGCUGACGGUAUCUGCAGAAUAAGCACCGACUACCUCCGUGCCAGCAUCCGCGGUAAUACGUAUGGUGAAAGCGUUAUUCGGAAUUACGGGGCGUAAAGCGUUUGUAGGCGGUUCGGAAAGAAAGAUGGGAAAUCCCAGGGCUCAACCUUGGAACUGCAUUUUUAACUGCCGAGCUAGAGUAUGUCAGAGGAGGGGAGAAUUCCACGUGUAGCAGUGAAAUGCGUAGAUAUGUGGAGGAAUACCGAUGGCGAAGGCAGCCCCCUGGGAUAAUACUGACGCUCAGACACGAAAGCGUGGGGAGCAAACAGG